Molecule: long non-coding RNA, 2054 nt
Organism: Homo sapiens (human)
Lineage: Eukaryota; Metazoa; Chordata; Mammalia; Primates; Hominidae
Exons: 2
Source: RefSeq, a predicted model, not a curated record
GCCCGCUUCAUCCCCUGCCCCUUGGCCUCAGCACUUCCGUCACACCUGCCCAGGAGGCCAUUCAGGAAAUCCACCAGCCUAGACAGGGUUGGACAGUGUGGGGAGAGGACACUUCAGCUACUCCCCUCUGAGGCCAGUGUCAACCUGGGUGGACGAGACCUCCUCCUCCUCCUGCCCUGCUCCUCCUCUCCUCCUCCUCUCCUUCCUCCCCCUCCUUCUCCUCCUCGUCCGCCUCCUCCUCUCCUCCUUCUCUUUCUCCUCCUCUCCCUCCUCCCCCUCCCUGCUUCUUCUGUAGUGAAUAGCAUCCCCUCAAAACCCAUGUCCUGCUGGAACCUGUGAAUGUGGCAGUCUGGAAAGGGGGUCUUUGCAGAUGUCAGGAAGUUAAGAUGCUCUAAAUCCAGCCUAAAUGCACCCAAAUCCACGGGGCUCUAAAUCCACUAACUAGCGUCCUUACAAUGAGAGAGAGAUUUGGGGACAAAGAGUGAGGAGGCCACGUGAAGGAGAGGCAGAGAUCGGGGCAAUACAGCCAUGAGCCAAGGCACACCUGGGACCAAUGGGAACUGGAAGAGGCAGGACGGGUCCCCGAGCCUUGGAAGGGAGGGCGGCCCUGCCAACAGCUCGACUGUGGACUCCUGGCCUGCAGAACCGUGAAAAAGUGAGUUUCUGCUGUUUUAAGCCGCCAAUUUGUGGCACACUGUCACAUCAGCCUAAGGGCACUCAGUUGUGUUUAGGGUUUGGGGGUAAGUGUGUCCCCCCCCCCCCCGCAAGAGGAUCAGAGAGACCACAGAGGGAUUGCAAUGUUCUCUGAGCUGGGCACACGGGAGGGGAUGGAAGCGGUGGGCGAGGGGGCCAGCAGGAGAGUCUGAGCGUCCUGUUCUUGCCCCAGGGCUCUGGGGGUGCAAGGCAGAGAGGCCAAGCCAGCCUGGGCCACCCUGGUCCCAGAGGUCGAGCUGGCCCAGCUGCUCCAGCAGUGUGCACGGACACCGCCCACAUCUCCAGACAUGAGGACAGUGGUGCGGGGCUGGGGCUGGGCAGUGCUGGGCCGGCGGAGGGAACCCGGGAAGGCAGGGACUUCACAACCCUCAUGAAACACAGACGCUGGGGUCUGGGGUGAGAAGGACUCGCGGCUGGGGCCACAGGUCAGACAGUGGGUCCCCAUCACCAGGACUGCAAGGUGGUAUGUGGGCAUCGGCAGGUGGGACAGAUGUCCCUGGAGAGCCUGCACCACCUCAGGUCCUAAGACAUCUGGGAAAUGAAGCAGGCAGGAGGUAUCCAGGGCCCCAAGAGAGCCACAGACAGAGCCACCAGGCCCAGGUACACAGCCCAAGGGGCCCUGGAGAAGGACCCCCAGGGGCACCGAAGCAGAAGCCCAUGGAGUACCCCAAGGAGGGAAGAGAAGAAUCCGGAAACAAAGCCUCGGGGAAGAACCGCACCUGACCUCCCUCCUGCCUGGUGGAAGCUGUCCACGCUGCCGGCACAGCCCCCGGAGGGAAAUAACCAAGCCCGCCCCUGAGGAUCUAGAACCUGCUAUCAGCUUCACAGCUGAAUCCAAAUUCCCAAACUCCCAAGUACUGGUGUACAGUGAAGGAUUAACUGAACUCACAGAAAGUCUGACCUUUCCCCCGGCUCCUGGGGCGGUCACCUCUAGGCCCUUGAAGAGUCCCGCCUGAUGAGAGUGUCUUUGUUUACCUGAGGGCUUAGCCACCCUGAACAGCCUAUGCUAAUGAUAAGAUUCAUGGUGGGGCCUUGAACCACAGGGCAUCAGCUUGACGUGCGGAGGUGCUGGAGGUUAAGGUCAGUCACAUGGUGUCAGCCGUGCCCACGUGACCAAGGCCCAGCAAAGACUCUGGACACCGAGGCUGGCGGAGCGUCCCUGGUUGGCAAUGCUGUGUGCCAUCACACGCUGUUGUCAUGAGGAGUUAACACUGUCCAGGACUCCACGGAGAGGGACAGCUCGAAGCUCUGUGCUGGGAACCCUCCUGGGCUCACCCCAUGGGUCCCUCCCCUUGGCUGACUUAAACCUGCAUCUGUAAUAAACUAUAACUGUGAGUGCA